AUCAUGUUUUAACAAAAGCAAACAUGAAUGAUUACCAUUUGACGCAAACAUAUUUUCUGUCGCGACUGCUUACUGUCACGUAGCCUACCUAAUGCCGAGUGCAAAAGCGUGCAUGCGUAUACCAACGUCGUUAUUAAAGCGCCAAUAUAAACCGUUCGUAUUGUUUUGCAUUAAAACAAGACGACCAAACAUGUAUAUACACACAAGAACCAACACUGAGAAAAAAUCUACAAUAUUUUGCCGCCAGUUUUCAAAUUCAAACUAACAAAGAGGUUUUAGAAUUGAAAACAAUAGGUUACUGUUAUGUCAUAUUCCCGACAAACAGCAUACAUCAUGAAGCAAAACUGCUGACACUUUACGAUGAUUUAUGUCUUAAGUUAUGUCUUUUCGUGCUGUCUGGGAGAAAACACAGGACUUUCGGUCACGAUUUGACCCGUGGGUGAAUCCUAUAUAAGACACACAACGCCCAAUCCCUUAUAUUAUAGAUAUAUAGACGUGUAAACAAGCGUAUAUACAGAUUUAACGACAUGUCCAGUUUAACUUGGAUUGCAAUAGUGGGCUUGGUGUGCAUUCACCUUGCACCGUGUGAAGGGAAUAUCUGGGAUAUUAUACAACCAAGAUUCUGUAGCCCUAUCGUUCCACGUCGCCCAGUAAAUGGUGGUUUCAGAUGUCGUUUUGUGAACCAUGCAUGCGUAGCUGGUACAUACUAUUGCAACAGCGGGUACAAGUUGCAAGGACGCAGUUAUAAUGCGUGCUUUAGUCAAACGUGGCUGUUUUCAUCUCCGCCAAGAUGUGUAGAAGAGGGCUGCGACGCACCAACACUACGCAAUGGAGACUACAGUCCACGUAGUUCAAACCACCGAGCAUACUCAGCCAUUACCAUUAGGUGUCGUGACGGUUACAAACCUCGAAGUAGACACAGUAUCUGCCGAGGGUACGGGAGUUAUUAUCACUGGAGUCCAAGCCCAUAUUGUGAACGUGACGCAAAGUGCGACCCACCAAACUUACGGAAUGGAAACUUCAGCCCGCUAAAAUCCAAGUACAACCGAAACACGGCCAUAACAGUGACGUGCAGUCCUGGUUACAAGACUCGUAGCGGCGACAGCUUGAGUUACUGUCGGGGUAACAGUUAUGUCGCGUAUUGGAGACCGCUGCCAUUUUGUUAUUCGACGGUUUGCAACGACCCUGUAGCGCCAACUAACGGACGGGCAAUUCCAGCAACUAGAAUAUCUUGGAGGGUAAAUUCAACUGUGAGAUACGUUUGCAACAAUGGAUUUAAACUUAACGGACAAGACUCGUCAUAUUGCGAAGAAUCUGGAAGCUUUGCUGGUUCUUUACCAAGAUGUGUCAGACGUGCUACGUGCCCGCCACCCAUUCCACCAAGAAACGGUCGAAUGGUACCGAGAUCAAAAACAACAUGGCGAGAAACAGAUCGAGUAAGUUUUUAUUGCGGCUUUGGUUUCACACUGGUUGGUGCAGGUGCGGCUACGUGUCGAGCAAACGGUCGGUGGGACAAUGCUGCCCCAGCAUGCGCGGAGAAAGCUGUGGUAGAAGUUACUACCAACGGUGAUGCAGAAAGGCCGUGGGGUGGAGCAAGGCCGUGGGGUGCAGAAAGGCCGGGUGAUGCAGCAGUAUUUACCACGGGAACCUACUACAAUUAGCCAGCAUAUUCGCAUGUAUAUAAUAUCGUGUUUUCGUUCAGCGCUUAUCAUUCCAUUAAUAAUUCCAUUAAUAAAUAAAACAUGAAAUAAAUCAUCAU
Ciona intestinalis (vase tunicate) is the source of this 1759-nucleotide non-coding RNA. The record is from RefSeq and is a predicted model, not a curated record. NCBI's taxonomy places the organism in Eukaryota, Metazoa, Chordata, Ascidiacea, Phlebobranchia, Cionidae.